This is a long non-coding RNA of Gallus gallus (chicken), 2575 nucleotides long. The record is from Ensembl. Lineage: Eukaryota; Metazoa; Chordata; Aves; Galliformes; Phasianidae.
UUUCUUUUUGGAGAUUGUUCUCUUUGGAGUUUUUCUGCAAGCCUAGGACAUAAAAAGCAGCAAGGUCUCUAUGUCUAUAUUCUUCAAGAUUCUGCUGUCACUGAAUUCUUCCUGUGCUGGAAUAGCAAGAAUUUACUCUGUAAUUUUAAUGAUAGUUGGCUGUGGCCUGAUUAGGAUCAUGAAGCAAACAUCACAACCAAGAGUAUCAAAUUCAUCAUUUUUAGCUCUCACUGCCACUACUGCAUGCAACCUCACAACCUGCAAAACUACCUGGACUGAGAGCAGAUGAUAGGAGUAAGAAGAAAUGAGUAAAAGAAGUAAUUGAACAGAGGUAAAAAUUAUUGGAAAAGAGAGAGUUCCAGAGUUAACUGGACUGGCAAAACAAUGAAAAACAGUGAAUAUCUGAGUGUCUCAGUGGAGUUUGUGAUCAGACUAGAAGCUGAAGGAGAAGCUGGAAAAGAAUAAAGUGACUUAAUGUUGAUGGAGCAGUAAGAGCCAGAAGUUAUGAUGGAAAACAGCAAAAGCUGCAGAGCAUAGAGAGUAAGACAGUUUAUUUGACACUGGUGAAUAGAAAUGGUGUGACACGGACAAUGUUGAUAUCAAUCUGAUUUUACCUUACAGCAGUUUACAAAGGUUGGAAUGGAAGUGUGGAUCACAGAGGACCAAAGUCAACAUCUCAGGCUUCCUAUAGCUUAGUAGUCUUUUAGAUUUAGCUCCAAAGCAAGUUCUGAAACUCAAAUGUGUCUUACACCAGAACUACUUGGAUUUAUUUCUCUGAUGGGAUGUUGAGUAGAAGACAUCAUCACACAUACUAGUCCAGGUCCUUUGCCAUAAAAUGUGUAGUGCCCCUAAUUAUCAUAAUGUGGUUGAUGUGCAGACAAAUGCACAUAGUUCCCUCUUAAGAAAACCUUGAUUCGCUGACAAAAGAUAAUACAGAAUUUAUAGGCAGCCAAUUUGGGGAAUGCAGAAAAUGUGAGAUGUAAAGCAUGUUUUGAUUAUGGCUGCUUUUGACAUACUGCUCAGUAACACGGAGUACGCAGCCUGAAAAUAAGUGAAGAGCAUCAUCAAGGAAGUAUGAGAUACUAAGGUGGGGAAAGGAACAGGACAAAAGAAAGGGUAGAGAAAAAAGGUCAAUUGUAGAGGGAACACGAAGUCUCUAUUCCAAGUAAGAAUACUUCCCAGACCAGAAUAGAAAUCACUGUUUCUAAAUCUUACCCUUCUGUUCUUAUACUCUCAGUCCUGCUCAAACCUUGCAUCAAUGAUCAAGACAAAGAGAGACAGAUAAUAGUUUAUAAUGGUCAAAAAAUACUGACUAAGUUUAAGUCUAUCAAUCCUCUGAUGCACAGUGCAGGAGUCAAAACUACAAUUCUUAAUUUCAACUUCUGUUUUUAGAAAAUGUAGAAGUUACAUAAAAUUUCUACUGUAAGAAUCUUAUUACUAUCAAAUCAAGUGUUCAAAUUAUGUUAGCAUAGCAUAGCAAGUGUUCAAAUGUUAGUAAGUUUCAGAGCUAAGAAGUUACUUGCAAACUUAAUUAAUGGCCCAUUACAUGAUUUUUCUGUUACAUUCUAGAAUUGUUAUCAAUUUUUAUUAUAUAUACACAGGACAUGAGUUAUAUUCAUUCAACAGGGUGAACAUGCAUUUCAUAAUUGAUCCGAGUUGGGUUAAAACAAAAAAAGCAGAUGCUUAUUUGUGUAGGACUAGGAAGAUAUGUGCUAAAAGAAGCAUGAUUAAGAUAAUGGAGGAUCUCAGAGUUGAUACUUUGCUUAAGAAACAGAAUCCUCUCUCUGCGUCUCACUCAGAAAUCCAAUGUGACUGGUAGCUAGUAGCACUUCUCGGGUGGACACUAAGCAUACAUUAUUUUGGGGGUAAUUUGUCUUUUAUAUUUCUACAUCUGAUUUGCACAAAGACUGUACCCACAGGAGCAAGCAAAAAUAUGUUUUGAAAAUUUAAAAGAAUUUAAUCAUAGGCAAUUGAAAAAUAGAGGCUUAGUUGUUUUAAAUUGCUUUGCAAUUAUAAUAGAUAAUAGUGAUUAUACAUUAGAGUUUUGGUGUUAUUUUUACCUCAGUUUCUACAUGCCUCCAUUUCUUACUUGGAGAGAUAAUUCCUUCAUCACAAAACAAUGUUGUAAUAAUGGAUUGAUGAGAGUUAGUGAAGCAUUCACAUAUUAUAGUGAUGAAUAUUAUGGAAAAGCCUGGAAAGUUAUUAACUAUUCUGUUUUCAAAGCACAGUUUGAAUACUGUGCAGUAAAGAAGGUAUGGGACCAUUCACAGAACAAACAGAAAAAUGUAAAAUAUUGAGAAGUUGCUGACUAAGUAAGCAACUUACAUUCUGUACCUAAGAUGAAGAAGACUUGUCAAAAAAUAGCAGGUGAUCACAUAAUUCAAGGCUGUACAAUAAUGGAUCCUCACUAGCACAUGAAUAACUUUUCAUUGGGAAAUAUUAAAUCUAGCAUUUGCAAAUAUUUGUGUCUGAUUUUGCAAUUUAAUACUGCUGUUUCUAUGUAAGAGUUCUGUUAUCUAAUUAGUACAUAAAACAAGAAUAUUAUCAGUGACUGGCAAUACAUUUUAAAUGUGGC